UCGGGAAUCUUGCACAAUGGGCGAAAGCCUGAUGCAGCAACGCCGUGUGAGCGAGGAAGGCCUUCGGGUCGUAAAGCUCUGUUGUUGGGGACGAAGGGCGAAGGGUUAAUAGCCCCUAGCCUGACGGUACCCUUCGAGGAAUCAGCCUCGGCUAACUCCGUGCCAGCAGCCGCGGUAAUACGGAGGAGGCAAGCGUUGUCCGGAAUUAUUGGGCGUAAAGCGUCCGUAGGUGGUUUUUCAAGUCCGCUGUCAAAGACCGGAGCUCAACUCCGGAGAGGCAGUAGAAACUGAGGAACUAGAGACCGGUAGGGGUAGAGGGAAUUCCCAGUGUAGCGGUGAAAUGCGUAGAGAUUGGGAAGAACACCAGUGGCGAAAGCGCUCUACUGGGCCGGUACUGACACUCACAGGACGAAAGCUAGGGGAGCGAAAGGGAUUAGAUACCCGUGUAGUCC
Molecule: ribosomal RNA, 452 nt
Filed under: uncultured prokaryote
Description: bacterial SSU rRNA
Rfam family: Bacterial small subunit ribosomal RNA
Source: RNAcentral